Biomphalaria glabrata is the source of this 718-nucleotide long non-coding RNA. RefSeq lists it as uncharacterized. The record is from RefSeq and is a predicted model, not a curated record. Lineage: Eukaryota; Metazoa; Mollusca; Gastropoda; Planorbidae. The transcript is spliced from 3 exons.
ACAAACAAAGACAGGCUAAGGCUAACUUCUGGACUAUAAAUGAUUGGUGACUAUAAACAUGACGUCAAUGGCUCAUUAAAUACAAGCGCAGAUAAUCGCUUAAUCAACACAUUGAAAGAAACUUUAAAGUUUCAAUAGUUUUCUCUGUUAUGUACAUAAAGGGGACGUUACUGGACAAAGUUAACAGAGUUGGCUGCCCCUGGCGCUCUUAACAAUUGGUCACAAAGAUUUAUUGUCACUUUUUGGUGUUUCAGAGACAUGGUGAAAUUUCAGAAAAAACAACUUUUAUAACUUUUAAUAAUUCCUAAUUUUUAAAUACAAUACACUUGGUAUGACAAACUAGAAAACACCAAACUGUGGGAGAUGAGUGGACAGAACAAUAUAUAGGUGCAGAUCUUAGAGAGAAAGUUGGGAUGGAUUGGUUAUACCUUAGAAAAGAUGUAUACAACAGAGGUACACAGGUUCUAGAGUAGAAUCCCAAGGGCACAAGACGUAGAGGAAGACCAAAAAGAACAUGGCGUCGCAGUAUACUAUAAUUUCUUCCACUUCCCAUUCUCCGAUCAAGUUGAAACUUUGCAAAAUUAUUCAUUGCCAAAGACAAUACAUGAAUGAAUAAAAAGAAAUAUUUAAAAAACUAGUUCAUUAUUUAGAGGUAAUUGAUUAAUUUUAUUUUAUAUAGAAAAGAAGAUAUAAAUCUUGCAAAUUAAAUACAUUAAUA